RNAcentral lists this long non-coding RNA (5641 nucleotides) under Lynx pardinus (Iberian lynx). Lineage: Eukaryota; Metazoa; Chordata; Mammalia; Carnivora; Felidae. The record is from RNAcentral.
GGGGAUGGUACCAGCGGGGCGCAUGUGUCGAGCAUGCACCUGUGGCAAGCAGCCUGUCAGAGGAUGUUAUUACACCUGCCAAGUGGUGAAUCCAGAAACAAAAGAGGCCCAGCUUCUAACUCUUCAGCUGUGUGCAAUGUUAGAGAAACCAUACCAGGAAAUAAUCCUGCCUAAAUGGGGCAGGCCUUACAGACAGGAUUGUAGACAGAUCCGUUGACUAUAGUCUGAAAUGGUGUUAAAAAUGCAGAUACCUGGGUCCCACCCCCCAAAUCUAAAAGGAAGACCAUUUUUAACAAGACCCCGAAUCGUUCUUAGAUUUGAGUGCCACUGAUUUCACCGGUGGAUUAGGAAGAUCUUGCUGUGAAGGCCUAGUUGCCUUAUGUCCACACCAGCCAGUAGGAUUAGGCUAGACUUCAUGAGAAGAAAAAUUCUCUACCAUUAGGCAAAGACACGCUAGAAACAGCAAUAUAAGACAGUGAACGAUUAGGUGCCAAAGUGAUUAGUUCAAACCCCAGGCACUGUGGGAGAUCACUAACAGCAAAGAGAAAUUCCUGUGGGAGGGGAGUAUUCCACAAUAUUUGUUGAGGCUUAUUCUCUACAGGAUAUCUGUUCUUUUUUUCUAAACUACAGACCUGGUUUUGAGAGUCCCUGGAGGUAAGAUUGGGGCCUACCAUACAUUUUAUACACAACUGUGGAGUUAGGCAGGCAGUCACUGAAGGGAACCCACAUUCUGGAGUUAAACCUGAGUUCAAAUUUGAGCUCUGCCUGUUGUGGCCUUGGGCAAAUGAGUUAACCUCUAUAUAAAAUAGAGGUGUUAAAAGUACACAUCUCUUGGGCUUGUGGGAAAAAAUGAGAGCGUGUAUGUAAAGCACAACACUGCUUACAACACAGUAAACUUCAAUAUACUUAAGACUAAAAAAACCAAAGGCCCAUUUCUGUCCACAGUGUCUCUGGACAGAAAGGACAAAUAUUUAAAAGUUAGAGAACAAACCAGUGUGUACUAAAUGACAAGCCAAGAGAAGACCAUUGGACUGAGGGACCAGGACAGGAAAGGGACGACCUAGUGAGGACCCAGAAAUAGGUUCAUUGUCCUCUGGAGAUAAAGAGCACAAAUCACGUUUUCAUAGAGUAGGGUGGGAGUGGAUAAUUAAAUUAAUCCCUCAAACCCAGGCCAAAUGGUCUUUGAGGAGUCCCUAAAAUUUGUUAGGUGAAGUGGUUUAAAUGCCAGAUCAAAAUUAGGCCUCAAAUUUCCCUCAAUGUCUUUCCCCUCCCAUCCAUUCAAAGGCAAAUCUGGCAAUAAUUUGUAAAAUAAUGAGUUAGGCUGCAAGGCACAGAAUGAAUGGCAACUUGGAUGGACUAAAGUUGGGAACAGCAGUUAGAAAACUACCUCUAGAUUCUAAUACAGGUUGGGAAGUGGCAUCACUAGGAAUGCCUGUAGAAAGGAGCCAAUGCAAGGGAGAUUGAAACCGAAUGUGGAGGCCAGGAGAGAUCUAAGGAGGGGAGCAAUGAAUUGAGACCUGAGGAUGGAAGUAUUUGCAGGGAGGAAUACUCAACAAGUAGCUAGAAAUAGACAAACUGAAAGAGUGAGCUACAUGGAGACAGGUAAAGGAGGAAGAUUAAGCUUUGGGGUAAGGGACCUAGUCUACUUGUUCACCAUGGUAUUUCUGGUGCCUGUCACCAUAACAUAUUAGUAUUUGUAGAAUGAAUAUAGAAGAAGUAGCCAAUGAAGAAGUAGUCAAAGCAGCAGGAGAAAAACCAGGGUAGUGCCCUUGAGAGGAGUCAAGAAGGAAAUUUUCAAUAAUGUUACAGAGAGAUUUAAUAGAUUUGAUUGAACAUUUACUUUGUACAAAAUACUUUGACCUAAAAUGAUGUUUUGGUAAAAUUGGAAGAUGUGUAGUAGCUAAUUAAAAGCAUGGUAUGUGAUAAAGAGAGGGAAAAGGAGUAGAGGAAGCCACAAAAUCAUUUGAGGCUAAAAUAGCCUUGAAUGCCAGAAUAAAGGGUUUGAGCUUUAUCCUGAAAAGUCGUGAGCCCCAAAUAGUCUUUAAGUGUACCCCUUCAGUAAAAAGUCUUUAGCAUAUACACUAUUACAUGUUUAUUUCUAAAUUACUAUAUGUAUAUUAGUCAUGCUUACUUAUAAACUUAAUGCAAGCAUAAUCCUAAAUAUUAUAUAGUUAGAAAACAAAAAUUUUAUAACAGUUCAGGUAAACAAAUUGAAAUCUAAUUUCUAAUCAUUUUUUGUGGGUUUUUUUUUUUUAAUUCCUUCCACUCAUUUGUAGAGACCACUUCAAGGUGAUACUGAGGAAGACACUUCCAAUGUCAUGGAUAUCCUUGGGAAGCAGAAUGUCAGAAAAGUGAUGGGAAGAAGGCAGAUUACACCAGGAGAGGAGGGCCUGGGAGUAAGGAAUUGGAGACAGGAGUAUAGAUCACUCAAAUGCUGAGGAUGCAAGAGAGAAAGAGAAAUAGUACAAUAACUUGAGUCAGGGAGGAUUGGGGAAAAGAUUUGGGGUUGGCGGGGGGAGUGGUUUGUUGUUUUUGAAAGGAGCUUCACUAAAGGCAGAUAAUAAGGAACCAAUAGGAAGCUGAAAAUAAAAGCUAGGUAAGAAAGGACUAUGGAGGGGCACUUGGCUGGCUUGGUCAGAGGAGUGUACAGCUCUUGAGCUCGGGGUCAUGAGUUCAAGCCCCACAUUGAGUGUAGAGAUUACUCAAAUAAAUAAAACUUAAAAAAAAAAAAAAAAAAAAGGACUAUGGAUAGAAGAGGAUCUUGGAGCAAUGAAUAUCAGGUGCCAGGCCAGUCUAUUAGAAUUUAAUCCACUUUGUCCCCUUUCCUAUCAGGACUUGCAUUUCAGCACUCUUCUCUUGUCUCUUUGGGGCAGUCUGAGCAUGUCCCAUCCUCUUCUGGAAUGAGGACUGGAAAUCAAUAAGCCCCCUCUGCAGUUGCUGUGUUUCUUGCUGCAGCCCUAUCCUACCACCAGCUGUUAGGCCACAAACACUGCCACAGUCGAGAAGACUGAACAGGUCAACAAGCACCUGUUGGGUCAUAGCCAUAGGAGUUGUCCCAUGUGUUUAGAAGACUGGUUUUCCCCAAUCCCCAGGCCCCUCUCUUGCCCCACUCAACAUACACACGUGUGCACUACCACUAUGUACGCCACCCCAGCCAGCAGUUUGGGCAAUGAAUCACCACUCAGGUUCACCCCCAGAGCAGCUACUUACUCUGUCACCUGGAGAGUAACAUUGUUGGCUAAGGGCUUGAGGUUUGUGAGUUGAACACACCUCACUCCUGCUUCUCAUGGCUACCCUUAGUAGUGAACCACGCACUGUCCAGCAUCGCUAGGGUUGUCACCUCCUGCCAAUGAGGCAGCACCUAGCCAGACAUAUAAAUAGGCAGUCACCACCAGAGAAGCCUUCCAUUGCCAAGUCCUCUGGCCACCUUGCCUGGCCUGGCCACUGGAGGGGCCUUCCUAAAAUUCCAAUCUGACCACAUCACUCCCCUACUUAAAGGCCAUCAAGUCCCUCCUCCACCCAUGGUCUACAAAAAAAAAAAAAAAAAAUCCAAACUCCUCAGCAUAGCUUAUAGAUCCUUCUGGAUCUGUUCCCCCCCAGCCUCACCAGUGCAAAGCCUGCCAGUCUCUUAUCUCUGUCUUCAUUCUCCCAUAGAGAAUGACCUGUCAUUCCCCAAAGUCACUCUGUUUGGGCAUCCCUGCACCUGGGAAAUAAUGGUUUCUCUAUAAUUCUAACCCUGGCUGUCCUCUUUGUUACCUGCCUGGGGUUCUGGGACACCUAACUGGGGCUCCUGCUCUUGAGCAUCAACAUUCUAAAAGGAAAAUUACACUCUGGUAAGGAUCAGGAGAGCUGAGUUCUAGUCUUGGCUUCGGCAUCAACUCCCUGGGUGAUCUUGGACAAGUUUUAUGGGUCUUUCUGGGUCUUAGUCUUCCAUCUGGGAAGAAUGAAUAAGAUAAUAUCCACAAUUCUCUGGCUGCCUUGGGAAAUAAUACUGCCUUUGUGGGCACCCAUCCCUGCCUUUGCCUCUUGCCACAGGGCUGACUUCUGACACACAGACCUUCUAUAAACACUCUAAAAGAGAAAAACAGAAGUUAAAAAAANGCGGCCGACGCCUGCUGCUGGCGCUGGCGGGCGCGCUGCUCGCCUGCCUGCUGGUGCUCACGGCGGACCCGCCCCCGCCCCCGGUGCCCGCCGAGCGCGGCCGGCGAGCGCUGCGCAGCCUGGCGGGCCCCGCGGGGGCGGCCCCGGGUCCCGGGCUGGAGGCGGCGGCGGCGGCGGCUCCCGCUGCGCUCGCCCGCGAGGUGCACAGUCUGUCCGAGUACUUCAGCCUGCUGACCCGCGCGCGCAGAGACGCGGGCCCGCCGCCCGGGGGCGCCCCCCGCCCCGCCGACGGCCACCCGCCGCCCCCAGCGGAGCCGCUGGCGCCCCACGACGUCUUCAUCGCGGUCAAGACCACCAGAAAGUUUCACCGCGCGCGCCUCGACCUGCUGCUGGAGACCUGGAUCUCGCGCCACAAGCAGAUGGUGAGCCCCCACGCCUGGGCGGGGUAGGGGUGCCGUCUUGCGCAGCUGGUGGCAGUAUCCGAAGGGCGCCAGGCUGCACUCUGUCCAGCCACCUGGAAUAUCUGGGGUGGUGACACCAACCCGUCCCUUUCCAGACCAGUCUCCUUGAUGGGGUCACUCUCCCCAUAGAGUUGUGGAAGUGUCAGAUGGGGACCCUACUCCAUCCAACUUCCAGAGUCUUGGAUGGUAUGCGUUGACCCUACACCAGCUGCCAGUGCUUGGGGUUUGGUGCCCUGUGAUGCUUCUUAUGCCCUUCUCCUCCCCAAACUUCGGAGCGCAUUAAUAAGGUGCUGUUGUCUCCACACCACCCCAAGGCAGAUUCUGAGUGGGGCAUCCACCCUGGGCUCAGACCCUUCCCUGGAGAGGACUACGCUUUCGUUAGUGAUGGGGUCAGGGUUAGAACCACCCCUGCCGCCCCGCAUAGGGCCAGGAGAGUCUUUGCUGUGGAAUGAAGACAAGUCUUUGCCUCUUGCCACAGGGCUGACUUCUGACACACAGACCUUCUAUAAACACUCUAAAAGAGAAAAACAGAAGUUAAAAAAAAAAAAAAAAAAAACUGGCUGCAACAAGCCCCAGCUUGGCAUUUUGGGUAACUAUUCAUGGGAAAUUGGUUAAAGAGGAAGGAGGAAGGAAGGAACUACCAGGAAGAUUUGCUUUGAAUCUCCCAGAAGGUGCUGUCACCUUUAGAUGUUACCGGGAAGAGGAGAGGACAGUAGAGGGGAAGGCAAAGGGCACAGACAAGAGAAGGCUAGUCCCCCAGGCAAAACCCAAACUCCCUUCUCCUCUUGUCCUCUGCUCUCCUGCCCUAAAUACAAGGGCUCUGUGAGGGGGCUCUGGCUCCCGAGUGCCCCCGGAACCCAAGUUCACUAAAGUAGGGAGACAGUGGCUUAGCUGUUCCCCUUCUCCCAGCAGGAUUAGCACUCGAGACAUCUGCCACCAGGCUAAGUACACCUUGGUGGGGAGCUAAGGCAACAGUACUUUAGCAACAGCAAACAUACUAACUACACCAUUCACUCCUGGGUGGUGGAAGACAUCAAAUUAGUUAUUCCCUGAGAAGUUCAACCACAGUGAGGGGACAC